UAGUAACGGCGAGUGAACAGGGACGAGUCCAGCGCUGAAUCUCGACGUCUCGGCGUCGCGACGUGUAGCGUAUAGGCGAUGUGCUUGGCCUUGGCCGAAGGCACAAGUUUCCCAUGACCGGGGCGCCAGAGAAGGUGAUAGACCUGUAGCGCCUGAGGCCGUGGCUGAUUGCACCGUCUUGGAGUCGGGUUGUUUGGGAUCGCAGCCCAAAGAAGGUGGUAAACUUCAUCUAAGACUAAAUAUCCCCUCGAGACCGAUAGCGAACAAGUACCGUGAGGGAAAGUUGAAAAGCACUUUGAAGAGAGAGUUAAAGAGGACGUGAAACCGGUAGGAUGGAAACGGAUAGAGCUAGCGAAGUCGCUUGCAUUCAGCCAAAGGUCUGUGGUCGCCAGCGUCGGGUUUCCUUACGGUGCUCGGCGGUUGUCCGGCCGCGGACUGAGGUGCAUUUGCGGGCGUAUGCGCUGAGACUUGUGGGCCAGCUGCUGGACCCGUGUUCUAGAGGCCGUCCUCUGGGCGGAACCUGGUCGCGGUGACGGCUGUUUGACCUGCUCGUAUGUGGUGCGGCCUACGGACCUGGUCAGCGUUGCUGUCUGCUCGUGUUGGUAUCGCAUGCGAUGCCUCGCUUGUGGGCCGUGGCGUUGGCCGGGGUCCACGCGCCUUCUCUCGGUGUAGAAGCUGGUCAUCUCUCCGACCCGUCUUGAAACACGGACCAAGGAGUUUAGCGUAUGCGCGAGUCAUUGGGUGCCGAAAACCCAUGGGCGCAAUGAAAGUAAAGGCUCGGUCGCCGGGCUGACAUGCGAGCGCUGUGGCCUCGGCCGCUGUGUGCAGCAUGGUCCCGUUCUGGUCGCUUGCGACGGAGCGGAGACAGAGCGUAUGCGCUGAGACCCGAAAGAUGGUGAACUAUUCCUGAGCAGGACGAAGCCAGAGGAAACUCUGGUGGAAGUCCGAAGCGAUUCUGACGUGCAAAUCGGAUC
Molecule: ribosomal RNA, 974 nt
Filed under: Hemicriconemoides kanayaensis
Lineage: Eukaryota; Metazoa; Nematoda; Chromadorea; Rhabditida; Criconematidae
Description: eukaryotic LSU rRNA
Rfam family: Eukaryotic large subunit ribosomal RNA
Source: RNAcentral